UCAGGCGGUUACAGCGCCGGGGUUCCACCUCUUCCCAUCCCGAACAGAGAAGUUAAGCCCGGUUGCGCCGAUGGUACUGCGCACAGUGGGAGAGUAGGUAGCUGCCAGCU
RNAcentral lists this ribosomal RNA (110 nucleotides) under Tannerellaceae bacterium. Lineage: Bacteria; Pseudomonadati; Bacteroidota; Bacteroidia; Bacteroidales; Tannerellaceae. The record is from RNAcentral.